This is a non-coding RNA of Plutella xylostella (diamondback moth), 210 nucleotides long. The record is from RefSeq and is a predicted model, not a curated record. NCBI's taxonomy places the organism in Eukaryota, Metazoa, Arthropoda, Insecta, Lepidoptera, Plutellidae.
AUUUCAUCUUCAAACCACUUAGAUGCUAAGCAGUUAGGUUUAGACUGUGGGAGAGUAGGUUAUUGAAUUGAAAACAUGCUAUCCUUUUGUAUCUCAUGUGUGGUGAAUGUUAUUGAUGUAUAGUUAGUGGAUCUAGGCCUCUUACUCAUUGAUGUGAUAGAUAUGAUUUUGGUAUUUACUUACCCACCUAAGUAUGUAAAGUUUGCUUUA